RNAcentral lists this ribosomal RNA (281 nucleotides) under Faecalibacterium prausnitzii. RNAcentral's name for it is "partial 16S ribosomal RNA". It matches the Rfam family "Bacterial small subunit ribosomal RNA", at positions 524 to 804 of the family's 1533-position model. Lineage: Bacteria; Bacillati; Bacillota; Clostridia; Eubacteriales; Oscillospiraceae. The record is from RNAcentral.
AACGUAGGUCACAAGCGUUGUCCGGAAUUACUGGGUGUAAAGGGAGCGCAGGCGGGAAGACAAGUUGGAAGUGAAAUCUAUGGGCUCAACCCAUAAACUGCUUUCAAAACUGUUUUUCUUGAGUAGUGCAGAGGUAGGCGGAAUUCCCGGUGUAGCGGUGGAAUGCGUAGAUAUCGGGAGGAACACCAGUGGCGAAGGCGGCCUACUGGGCACCAACUGACGCUGAGGCUCGAAAGUGUGGGUAGCAAACAGGAUUAGAUACCCUUGUAGUCCGCACUGAU